GUUUGUUUUGUUUAAUUGGAGCUUUUAACAUUUUAUGGCUCAUUAGUUGUCUUAGUCAAAUUACCAUCACACAACUCUACUAUCAACUAUCAUGCAGGUGAGUUUCCACCAUCAGCUGUUUUUUUAUGCACAUUUUGAAGUAUCGCAUUAGAAAAGGUUGAUGGAAACGGCAAAAUUUUUUAAAACAAAUCCUUAAUAUCCCUUAAAAAGUUUUUACUCUCUCUAGAGGUGGUUUUUGCCUUUGUUGAUAAAAGUGUUAAUGCGCUAAAUGGGAGACAAACACUUUUGCCAAAUAAAUUCUGACGUAGCAAACUUGUAACUCACGUCUGAUCAGCUGUUUCCCUGUCGGCGUCUUGCGAGAUAGUCCUAUAAUACGCGGACACAUGGCUGGUUUGCCUGCUUGAAACACAUUUCUGAACACAUUUUUCUAAGCUCAAUGUUGGCGGCUCAGGCCAUCAUCAUCUUGGCAGUGGCUAGUCGCGCAUCACUCCUGGCUAAUCCAAAAAUGGGUAAAGAGGUGGAGCGUGGGUGAAGCUGAGGCAGGCUGAAUAAAGCACGGUUGCUGCAGUUAGCCCUGUUACUAGAAACAGCCAUUCCCUUAAUUAUGCAUAACUUUAAGGCUUAUAUAAUUUCAAUGGGUGACUAAUAUAAAUUAGCUAGAGGGAACAAAAGCAUUUUUUGUACCAUAAACAUUUUUAUUUAUGCUGGAAAGAUGGGCAUUUUAACAUGAGCAUUGACUUGGUUUUUGGAGCCAGUCUCAAGUGGGUUCGAUGAACCGCAGUUUUCUGCCCCACAGGUUGCCACAACAGACUGUUUACUUUGCUGAUUCAAGUAGGCGAGUAAACACUAAAAUAAGGUGAAGAAUGAAGUAUAAUUAAAAUGGUUAAACAAGAAAAAACCUCGAAAACUACAAAUAUACAUCGCUAACCCAGACCCCAGCCGCCGCCACCGCCUAUCUGUGGGGAAACACUGCAGAAUUAUUAUAAUUAUCCAUCUGCCUCUUUUGUGUUACUUUUAGCUGUACUUGAGGGGACCAAAAUUUUCAAAGCUUCAAAUCACAGUUUAUAUUAAUGUCAUGAAAGUCUGUGAAAAUAAUGAAGAUAAUAAGUUAAAAGAUGGUGCAUUUGUAUAAUACAGAGGAAAUUGGUGGCUUCAAACUCUCUUAAGAGCUCAAAGCUUUCUGCUGCCAGGCUGACAUCAACAGUUUUUAUGGGAUAAAAAAAGAAAGAAAAAAAACAACAACAUGAAAACAUUUUUGUGACCUUUAAAACUUUCCGGGGCUCAAAAAAUCUGGACGCUCACUGGGAUUAUUACCCAUCAUUUCGCACAGCAACUCAACAGCACUGCUGGAGAGGGAGAGAGGAAGAGAAUAAAAUGUCUUACUUAAAGCCCUCAAGGCCAUAAAAUGAUAAGCCCAAACUUUAGUUUGGUUUAAGAUACUUGUAUCUUUGCAAUAUGCAUUUUUAAUUAACUACUCAGGUUUCCAUACUUUUCGAAGCCUUCCAAACCCAAUCUCUAAGGAUUCAAAGCUGGGUCUUGGGUAGAUUAAAUUAUUUUAAUUAUAAACGUGUAAUUGUGUUUGAAACUAGAGGCGAGAAAAACUUGCAAAUACAUUCCUAAAUCCAUUUUAGUGCAUUACAAGCUUAAUUAAAUGCUCUUGCAUAGUAGGCGGACAGAUUAGCAGCCAGAAAAGGGUAAUAAUUUCCUGAAAAUCAUCUUACAAAUCAUCUUACAUAUCAUCUUACAUAAUACCCCAAAAAGUAGUUUGAGUGCACGGCGCUAAUGAGAACAGUGUGUUACACAACAAAGCGAUGAGGAGCCAGGCUGAAGGCACAACUCUUUGAAAUCUUAGCACUGUGUCAGCAUUUUAUCAUUCCAGCAUUACCCGACUGACCAGGAGGGGGGGAAACAGUGGGAUACUGCAGAGAGGAGGACAGUAAACGCAGCCUGAGACACUCAUGUGCUGCAGUUUGUGAGGCAUUUUGAAGGAAUUGGAGAGUCCUCAAGACACAAAGGUUGUGCUGAAUGAUAAAUAUGAACAAAUAAAAAUCAUAUUGUUUUGACA
This is a long non-coding RNA of Micropterus dolomieu (smallmouth bass), 2065 nucleotides long. RefSeq lists it as uncharacterized. The transcript has 2 exons. The record is from RefSeq and is a predicted model, not a curated record. NCBI's taxonomy places the organism in Eukaryota, Metazoa, Chordata, Actinopteri, Centrarchiformes, Centrarchidae.